Molecule: ribosomal RNA, 1752 nt
Filed under: Myxidium bergense
Lineage: Eukaryota; Metazoa; Cnidaria; Myxozoa; Bivalvulida; Myxidiidae
Description: SSU rRNA
Rfam family: Eukaryotic small subunit ribosomal RNA
Source: RNAcentral
ACCUGGUUGAUCCUGCCAGUGGUCAUAUGCUCGUCUCAAAGAUUAAGCCAUGCAUGUCUAAGUUCAUAUCGAUUUUAAUGAUGAAACUGCGAAGGGCUCAGUAAAUCAGUUAUCGUCCGUUCGAUCAUAUAAACCACGGAUAACUGUGGCAAAUCUAGAGCUAAUACUUGCAAAAUCUGGCGGUGGCAACACUGUUGGAGCAUUUAUUGGACUGAACCAACAGGAGUUAAUUCUCUUGCAGGUGAAUCUAGAUAACUUUGCAUAUCGCACGGCUUGACCGGUGAUAGUUCGAUCGAAUUUCUGCCCUAUCAACUAGUUGGUAAGGUAGUGGCCCACCAAGGUUGUGACGGGUAACGGGGAAUCAGGGUUCGAUUCCGGAGAGGGAGCCUGAUAAACGGCUACCACAUCUAAGGAAGGCAGCAGGCGCGCAAAUUACCCAAUCCAGACAUUGGGAGGUAGUGACGAGAAAUACCAAAGUGUGCCCUAAAAGGUUUCACUAUUGGAAUGAACGUAAUAUAGUACCUUCGAUGAGUACCUACUGGAGGGCAAGUCUGGUGCCAGCAGCCGCGGUAAUUCCAGCUCCAGUAGUGUAUCUCAAAAUUGUUGCGGUUAAAACGCUCGUAGUUGGAUUACAAAGGUCUGGCGUCAAUUGAGCAUUAGUUUGAUUGGCGUUGGGCUUUUUUAUCGCAGGAACCAUUUUGUUUACUUAACUGUGAACGUUUGGCCACUUGCGGAGCGUGCCUUGAAUAAAGCACAGUGCUCAAAGCAGGCGUAACGCUUGAAUGUUAUAGCAUGGAACGAAUACCCUGACUCGGUUCAGUUAGUUGGUUCUCUGAACUGGGUCGUGAUUAAAAGGGACAUUUGAGGGCGUUAGUACUUGGUGGCGAGAGGUGAAAUUCUUAGACCCACCAAAGACUCACUAAUGCGAAAGCAUUCGCCAAGAAUGUUUUCAUUGAUCAAGAACGAAAGUUAGAGGUUCGAAGACGAUCAGAUACCGUCCUAGUUCUAUACAGUAAACUAUGCCACCAUGGGAUCAGUCCGGAAAACGAUCCAGGUUGGUUCCCCAAGGAAACUUGAAGUGUUCGGGUUCCGGGGGGAGUACAGUCGCAAGUCCGGAACUUGAGGGAAUUGACGGAAGGGCACCACCAGGAGUGGAGCCUGCGGCUUAAUUUGACUCAACACGGGGCAACUCACCAGGUCCAGACAUUGAAAGGAUUGACAGACUGAUAGAUCUUUCAAGAUCCAAUGAUUGGUGGUGCAUGGCCGUUCUUAGUUGGUGGAGUGAUCUGUCAGGUCUAUUCCGGUAACGAGCGAGACCACGAUCUCUAUUUGAUUGCAGCUGCUUUGUUGUAGUUGGUCAUAGAGAGACUACCGGAAUACAGGCCGGGGGAAGCGUGGCAAUAACAGGUCUGUGAUGCCCUUCGAUGUUCUGGGCCGCACGCGCGCUACAAUGGCAGUGACAACAAGUUUCUGCUUUGAGAAGAGUGGAUAAUCUUGACAAUCGCUGUCGUGAUUGGGAUUGAGCCUUGUAAUAAUUGCUCAUGAAAGAGGAAUUCCUCGUAAGCGCGAGUCACCAACUCGAGUUGAAUACGUCUCUGCCCUUUGUACACACCGCCCGUCGCUACUACCGAUUGAAUGGCUUUUCGAGAAGUCGGGAUUGGUGAUCGCAAGGUCACCGAGAGCUGCUUCAAGGAAAGGUAUUUAGAGGAAGUAAAAGUCGUAACAAGGUUUCCGUAGGUGAACCAGCGGAAG